Eptesicus fuscus (big brown bat) is the source of this 1436-nucleotide long non-coding RNA. RefSeq lists it as uncharacterized. NCBI's taxonomy places the organism in Eukaryota, Metazoa, Chordata, Mammalia, Chiroptera, Vespertilionidae. The transcript is spliced from 3 exons. The record is from RefSeq and is a predicted model, not a curated record.
CUCUUCCACAAGCCCCAGGAGACAUCCUCUAAUAUCUCAUUGGUUAAAACUGGGACUCGGUAUCCACAGGAAGAAGGCGAUGUGCUGUGUGAGCAACCAACAUCAUCCUGCCAUAAAGAAGUGAACAAGGUAGCUGAGGGUUCGAAGACAAGGGAACUGGAGGAACAGAACAUGCAAAGUUGUUCUGAUCCAGUCCAAGGGCUACAUCACUACAUGCUUCUCAAACUGGAGGAUGCACAGCCCUGAUUCUGUGAGGGAGCAGGCCAAACAAGAGUAUCCAAUGUAUCUUUCUGAAGCACCAAGUUUAUUACAAGACUUGGAAGAACCAAGUACUUUCAUGUGAGAAUCACCCCCUCACACAAACAUGGAAGGAAAGGAAAACAGGAGAGGUGAAAAGGACCCCAAGAGAACAGGCUGGCUGAGGGGUGGACCUGCGGCGAGGGGGCCUCUCCUGUUGUCCCCGAGGCGGCCUCAGACAUCCUCCAUGCUCAGCAGGUAUUUUUGGCCUUGGGUUUUGCAGGCCACAGAGAUGCCCGGUGCCCUUCUGAUGUGAAUUUGUGCAGAGAACAUCGUGGCAGUUUGCACAGCUCCACUGUCCACUGGAUCUAGUGCUCUCUCGCCCAGGGGUCCUGGCACCCACAGUGUGCACAUUAUGCUCCUCUUCUUCUGGAAGCUCUCUGUGCCCAGCCUUUGGCCUUUCUCCCUGCACCACAUGACCGGGCUCCCAGUAGCUCAUCAUGAUUUAAUUCUUCAUUUAAAGUGGAGAAUGUGUAACUUGACCUCCUUGGAUUCUUGGGUUGUAUCCUUCCUUGGCUGCCCACCAUUUACAUGGACUCUACAUUUUUCCAAGCUUUUUUUGUGGAUGACCUGAAGUAGAACUUUUUCCACAUAAAGACCGAGAUUCUCCUGGUGACCCCUGCAGGCCCUUGCUGGUUCCCGCUGGGGAUCCACAGCUGCUGCUAUGAUUAUCAGAUCGUUUUGGGUGUCCAGGAAUCCACAGAGCCACCCUGGAGGCUGGGCUGGGUGUGGCGGCCCUUGACUCCGAGAUGACUGGUGGAAUGGCAGGCUCCUGGGUCUUCUGUCAUGACUCCUGGUCCUUGGGCUGCUUAUAUAUUUCCAGACACAUGGAGAACUCUGGGUAAACCGCCUGAGUUGGGGAGGGACCAACUGUGUGGUCAGGGGAACAGAAGGGCCCUAUCACAACGGUGUGGCACUCCAGUUUUGGUUUCUUGCUGCUCAUAAUGAGACAAGUGGCCACUAUGUUGGUGAACCUCUUGUGCUUUUCUGGCUCUGGGAUCUCACCCUACUCCAACCCCAGGCUCAUCAUCUGUCUGUCACCCAGGAGUCCAUGUCAUCACAGGGAGGCUCGCUGUGAGGACUGAGUAUUUCUUCUUGGCCCAUGUUUAACCAUGGUCCUCCCAUAAACUUCCUCUGUC